GCCGUCCCCCUCCUCACCCCCCCUGGUGCUGCGCAGGCCCGGAGGGGAAAGGACACGCACGUCCCUACCGGGGGGUGAGCGGGGGGGGGGAAGGUUAGAGAAAGAGAAGGAAAGGGGAAAACUAAUAAAACUAAAUAAAAGAAAGUGGGAGAAAGGGCAGACGUACCGGGGUGCCGAGGAAGGGGAGGCACGGCCGGGCGGCCCCACCGGGAAGGGAAGAGGGAGAGCAGAAAGUCAGCGGAGAGAUGCGCGGCUCAAGCCGUCUGUACCUGUGGAGAAGGGGCCGCCUUCAUCCCAACUUCCCAGCGCCGGCGCGGCCCUCCCGUCCGGGAAAAGCGGGCAGGGGCCACCGCGGGACCCGCCGCCGCUGGCAGGAAAAUCAACCCGAAGGAAAAGUUUAAAAGGAAACUUUUUCUACUUCCCCAACGCGCAUUUAAAGGAAUCGCACGGCCAGCCGACACGCUGCAAGAUACACACCUCCCGCCUGCCCCCCUCCUAAGCGUUUGCUUUUCCUUCUUUUUCUUCGCUCCCUUCCCCCCCCCCCACCUCCUCCCUCCAAGGAAAAAAAAACCCGGAGAGAUCCCUGCAGAGUUAAGGCACACUCCUGCCCUUUGUGAGGCAGCAGCCCCGCGGUACUUACGCCGGACUUUGCUGGGGCUGGGCUGCUUGCGCCGCGACAUGCCGGGAAGAUGGGCCGCAGAAAA
Long non-coding RNA from Pogoniulus pusillus (Red-fronted tinkerbird), 704 nucleotides. RefSeq lists it as uncharacterized. NCBI's taxonomy places the organism in Eukaryota, Metazoa, Chordata, Aves, Piciformes, Lybiidae. The record is from RefSeq and is a predicted model, not a curated record. The transcript is spliced from 2 exons.